AUGGCCGCCGCCUGGCUUAAGCUCUCUGUCGCGCUGACAUGCGCAUUGCUCUUAUCGUCGUCGGCGUGCCAUGGCCUGCAGGUGGGCUACUACAAGAAGACGUGCCCCCGCGUGGAGGCCAUCGUGAGGGACGAGGUGAAGCGCUUCGUCUACAAGAACGCCGGCAUCGGCGCCGGCCUCAUCCGCAUGUUCUUCCACGACUGCUUCGUCCAGGGGUGCGACGCCUCCGUCCUCCUCGACCCCACGCCGGCCAACCCGCAGCCGGAGAAGCUGAGCCCUCCCAACUUCCCCAGCCUCCGGGGCUUUGAGGUCAUCGACGCCGCCAAGGACGCCGUCGAGAAGGUGUGCCCCGGCGUCGUCUCCUGCGCCGACAUCGUCGCCUUCGCCGGCCGUGACGCCGCCUACUUCCUCAGCCGGAUGACGAUGAAGAUCAACAUGCCGGCCGGCCGCCUCGACGGCCGCGUCUCCAACUCCACGGAGGCCCUCGACAACCUGCCGCCUCCGGUCUUCAACCUGGACCAGCUCAUCGCCAGCUUCGCCGCCAAGGGCCUCACCGCGGAGGACAUGGUCGUCCUCUCUGGCGCCCACACCAUCGGCGUGUCCCACUGCUCGUCCUUCGUCUCCGAUCGCCUCGCCGUCCCCUCCGACAUCAACACCGGCUUCGCCAACGUGCUGAGGAGGCAAUGCCCCGCCAGCCCAAGCCCGGCCAACGACCCCACGGUGAACCAGGACGUGGUGACCCCCAACGCGCUCGACAACCAGUACUACAAGAACGUCCUGGCGCACAAGGUGCUCUUCACGUCGGAUGCCGCCCUCCUUGCCACGCCGGCGACGACCCAGAUGGUGCGCGACAGCGCCAACAUUCCCGGUCAGUGGGAGGCCAAGUUUAACAAGGCCAUGGUCAAGAUGGGAGCCAUCGAAGUGAAGACCGGUUACCAGGGAGAGAUCAGGAGGAACUGCAGGGUCGUCAACCACUAA
This 978-nucleotide ribosomal RNA is filed under the name Triticum aestivum (bread wheat). RNAcentral's name for it is "partial small subunit ribosomal RNA". The record is from RNAcentral. Lineage: Eukaryota; Viridiplantae; Streptophyta; Magnoliopsida; Poales; Poaceae.